AGAAUCAACGCUGGCGGCGUGCCUAACACAUGCAAGUCGAACGCGGUUACCCCGCAAGGGGUAACUGAGUGGCGAACGGGUGAGUAACACGUGGGUGACCUACCUUCGAAUGGGGGAUAACGUCCCGAAAGGGACGCUAAUACCGCAUAACAUCCUGCUUUUGAACAGGUGGAGAUCAAAGCCGGGGAUCGCAAGACCUGGCGUUUGAAGAGGGGCCCGCGUCUGAUUAGCUAGUUGGUGAGGUAACGGCUCACCAAGGCGACGAUCA
This 268-nucleotide ribosomal RNA is filed under the name uncultured bacterium. RNAcentral describes it as "partial small subunit ribosomal RNA". It matches the Rfam family "Bacterial small subunit ribosomal RNA", at positions 26 to 282 of the family's 1533-position model. The record is from RNAcentral.